ACAAGGACUUGGACUAUGAAGUGGUCAGGGGCCUGUUUGCCCGUGGGAAUCUUGAGCACUCUCACAUGGCCUUCCGUCAUGCCAUAAGUGUCACACGAAAUUGGCUUUUCAUGCUGGUCAUGUUUCUGGUUCCUUUGUGUGUUACUGGAUCUGUUAUUUUGUCCAUCUUGGCUGUGGUCAUUGCUUUAAGUAUAAUAUGGAUCUGCUCCAG
Molecule: non-coding RNA, 211 nt
Organism: Pelobates cultripes (western spadefoot toad)
Lineage: Eukaryota; Metazoa; Chordata; Amphibia; Anura; Pelobatidae
Source: the annotation of a GenBank genome assembly